ACCCGCUGAACUUAAGCAUAUCAAUAAGCGCAGGAAAAGAAACCAACAGGGAUUACCUCAGUAACGGCGAGUGAAGCGGUAAUAGCUCAAAUUUGAAAUCUGGCCUCUUGGGGUCCGAGUUGUAAUUUGUAGAGGAUGUUUUGGGUACCGCCCCGGUUUAAAUUUCUUGGAACAGAAUGUCAAAGAGGGUGAGAAUCCCGUCUUGGACCGGUGGUAGGGCCUGUGUAAAACUCCUUCGACGAGUCGAGUUGUUUGGGAAUGCAGCUCAAAAUGGGUGGUAAAUUUCAUCUAAAGCUAAAUAUUGGCCAGAGACCGAUAGCGCACAAGUAGAGUGAUCGAAAGAUGAAAAGCACUUUGAAAAGAGAGUUAAACAGUAUGUGAAAUUGUUGAAAGGGAAGCGCUUGCAAUCAGACUUGAGCGCGGCGGUUCCCCUGACCUUUUGGUUAGGCUAUUCCGUCGUGUCCAGGCCAACAUCGGUUCUGAGGGUCGGUCAAAGGCCUUGGGAAUGUAUCUACCCACGGGUAGACUUAUAGACCAGGGUGUCAUGCGACCUCUCGGGACCGAGGAACGCGCUUCGGCUCGGAUGUUGGCGUAAUGGUUGUCAGCGACCCGUCUUGAAACACGG
This 625-nucleotide ribosomal RNA is filed under the name uncultured fungus. Its description in RNAcentral is "LSU rRNA". It matches the Rfam family "Eukaryotic large subunit ribosomal RNA", at positions 23 to 664 of the family's 3401-position model. The record is from RNAcentral. Lineage: Eukaryota; Fungi.